This 446-nucleotide ribosomal RNA is filed under the name uncultured bacterium. RNAcentral describes it as "bacterial SSU rRNA". It matches the Rfam family "Bacterial small subunit ribosomal RNA", at positions 330 to 792 of the family's 1533-position model. The record is from RNAcentral.
UCCAGACUCCUACGGGAGGCAGCAGUGGGGAAUAUUGCACAAUGGGGGGAACCCUGAUGCAGCGACGCCGCGUGGGUGAAGGAGCGUUUCGGCGCGUAAAGCCCUAUCGGCAGGGGAGGAGGAGGACGGUACCUGACUAAGAAGCCCCGGCUAACUACGUGCCAGCAGCCGCGGUAAUACGUAGGGGGCAAGCGUUAUCCGGAUUUACUGGGUGUAAAGGGGGCGCAGGCGGCAGCGCAAGCCAGGAGUGAAAGCCCGGGGCCCAACCCCGGGACUGCUCUUGGAACUGCGCGGCUGGAGUGCAGGAGGGGCAGGCGGAAUUCCUGGUGUAGCGGUGAAAUGCGUAGAUAUCAGGAGGAACACCGGUGGCGAAGGCGGCCUGCUGGACUGCGACUGACGUUGAGGCCCGAAAGCGUGGGGAGCAAACAGGAUUAGAUACCCGCGUA